AUCACAAGGGCUGGGAACCCACAAACCAAGCCCAUGGAAAUGGAUAUAGAAUCUGGGGAAUAUACAGUUCUUCAGAGCCUUUAAAAUGGAUAAAGGGGAAGAUAAGUCCCUAGUUCAUGUGUACCAUUUGCAGCCCACCAUCCUGCACAAGAGGGAAAGUUCAGAGCUGCAAACCAAAACCAAGCACUUGGUACAGCUUAAAAGAAAUUGCUGGGGUGUUAAAUAAGGAAGGAAUAGAA
Long non-coding RNA from Empidonax traillii (willow flycatcher), 239 nucleotides. RefSeq lists it as uncharacterized. The record is from RefSeq and is a predicted model, not a curated record. Lineage: Eukaryota; Metazoa; Chordata; Aves; Passeriformes; Tyrannidae. The transcript is spliced from 2 exons.